This 588-nucleotide ribosomal RNA is filed under the name Kiritimatiellia bacterium. RNAcentral's name for it is "Kiritimatiellae bacterium (sediment metagenome) partial 23S ribosomal RNA". It matches the Rfam family "Bacterial large subunit ribosomal RNA", at positions 2345 to 2925 of the family's 2925-position model. Lineage: Bacteria; Pseudomonadati; Kiritimatiellota; Kiritimatiellia. The record is from RNAcentral.
UCGAGGGCAAUGCCAUAUAGGGGGCUUAACUGCGAGACUCACAAGUCGAGCAGAUGCGAAAGCAGGACAUAGUGAUCCGGUGGUAGCUCGUGGUAGCGCCAUCGCUCAUCGGACAAAAGGUACUCCGGGGAUAACAGGCUGAUCGCUGCCGAGAGUUCACAUCGACGCAGCGGUUUGGCACCUCGAUGUCGGCUCAUCGCAUCCUGGGGCUGGAGAAGGUCCCAAGGGUUUGGCUGUUCGCCAAUUAAAGCGGUACGCGAGCUGGGUUCAAAACGUCGUAAGACAGUUUGGUCCUUAUCCACUGUGGGCGUAGGAAAUUUGAGGAGAACAUUCCCUAGUACGAGAGGACCGGGAAUGACGUACCUCUGGUGUUCCAGUUGUCCCGCCAGGGGCAUCGCUGGGUAGCUAUGUACGGAACGGAUAAGCGCUGAAAGCAUCUAAGCGCCAAGCCUCCUCCAAGACGAGAUUUCCCUCUCCGCAAGGAGCUAAAGGCUGGUCGCAGACGACGACCUCGAUAGGCCGAUGGUGUAAGCCCGGUGACGGGUUGAGCCUACCGGUACUAAUCAGCCGUGAGGCUUGAUCAUUUUU